This 3215-nucleotide ribosomal RNA is filed under the name Cladonia petrophila. RNAcentral describes it as "LSU rRNA". It matches the Rfam family "Bacterial large subunit ribosomal RNA". The record is from RNAcentral. Lineage: Eukaryota; Fungi; Ascomycota; Lecanoromycetes; Lecanorales; Cladoniaceae.
CAAGUAUACAAAGAAAUUAUUAUGGAAUCAUAGCUAUAUAUUAAAUAGAGCCACUAAGAGCCAACCUAAAAAUAAUUCUAAUAAUAAAUUAUAUAUCUAAAAAACGAAGUGAAUUGAAAUAUCUUAAUAACUUCAGGAAAAAAAAUCAAAAGAGAUUUCUUAAGUAAUGUGAAUGAAACAGAAUAAGUCUUGUUUUUGUAUUAGGUCUUUUUAUAUUCUCUAUUUUUGAUUGCUCUAGCAUUUUGUUAUAAAAAAAAAAUUAAUGCUUGCUUGUAAUACUAAACAAGCUUAGGUAGUUAUCAACAUAAAAAUAUGAAAAAGACACAUUGCUUGUUAAAUCAUACGAGCUGAUGCUGCGUACAUAAAGGAAAAAGUAAAAUGGAGUGCAUAUCUGUUUGAAUAAAAGGGGAACCUUCCUCUAAGACUAAAUAUAAUAUAUAAGCGAUAGCGAAUAGUACCGUGAGGGAAAUGAUUGAAAUAGUAAUUUUAUAAGCAGCUCAAAGAUGGUUUAAAUAAACAAUGAGAGCGUACCUUUUGCAUAAUGGGUCAGCAAGUUAAUAUUCGAUGCGAGCAAUAAUGCAAAGAUAAAACAAUUAUGAUAUAAUAAUGUAGUAUCGAAAUUAGACCCGAAACCUAGUGAUCUUACCAUGAUCAGGGUUAUAAAAGUCCGAACGGGUUAUCGUUGUAAAGAUAUCCGAAGAAUCGUGGUAAGUUAGUGAAAGACAAUUCUGACUAGGAUAGCUGGUUUUCUGCGAAACCUAUAUAAGUAGGUAAUUUAAAUAGAAUAUCAGAAGGUACAGAAUUGUGAUCUCAUGCAACCAGUAUUUAUUAAUAUAUUAAUAAAAAAAAAGAACAACUUGUUUGUGUACUUAUACUAGGUUAUCCUACGUAAGUAUUCACGCAUGUUUAUCUUUUUAGGGAUAUUAUAAUAUUAACAAAAAUAUACUUUUUGUGGACAUUGGGGGGUCGUGAAGACUCUAUCAGUGAGUAUUUGUUCUCGGAAGGACUAGAUAUGUAUAUUGAAUAAUCGGACAUAGUACGAUAAGGUUGUAUGUCUAAAGGGAAAUAGCCCAGAACAAGAGUUAAUAAGGUUCCAAAAUUUUUGUUAAGUGAAAUUAAGGCAGUAUUUAUCCCAAUCGGCCAGGGAAUAGGCUUAGAAGCGGCCAUUUUUUGAAGACCUCGUAACAGAGCACUGGUUUUAUAUUUUAUGGAUAAAAGCACCGAAAAUUUAACGGAUCUAAACAAAAUACCGACACCUUGUCCAUAUAUAUUAAUGUGUAUAUUAUAUAUUGUAUAUAUGGGGUAGCGGAACAUUGGGCGUGAAACAGCCAUUUUUAAUCCUUUAUAAGGAUUAAAUUGCCUAGAGUUUUUUUAUUAAUCUCUAGACUAAAUAAGCCCAAGUGAUAAUGCUGACAUGAGUAACGAUAAAGGAUCAUUAAUACAUAAAAUAUUAGAGAAUCCUCGCCUAAAGCUUAUGGAAUUUAUUAAAGUUACGGCCUCUAAGUUUAUUUUUUUGUCUUAGCUUCCGAUUAUUUAUAUAUAGUAUAUAUUUAAUAUCUACGUCUAAAUAGUCGAGAGUUAUGACAAAUUACCUAAUGGUAUAGACGAUGAGAAAACCUAGAGUUUACAGUAAUUAACGUUUUUUAUUUACGUAUUAACUGGAACUCCGCUUAUUCUAUUGAAUUGUUAUUUUAAUAAUCUAUUCUUAAAGGAAAAACGGAAGAUCUUUACUAAUAUUUUAAGUAAAUUAUGUGAAAAAUGUUCUGGAAAACUGUAAGCUCCGUAAGUAAUAUAAAAAAAGUAAAACAAAGAUAUAUUGCAAGCUUAUGCUAUAAUACCGUACCUAAAUACUAACACAAGUGAGCAAGUAGAGAAUACGAAGGCGUUCGAGCUAACAAUCAUUAAGGAACUCGGCAAAUUGACUCUCGUAACUUCGGGAUAAGGUGGGCCAUUUCUUCUGAUUAAUAUCAGGUAAGAAAGAGGAGGCAUAGAAUGGUGUUGUACGACUGUUUAAUUAAAACAAAGCACGCUGCGAAGAAAUAAAUUCGAUGUAUUGAGUGUGAUCUCUGCCCGAUGGCGGCUGGUUAACUAAUUUGCUUAGUUAAAUAAAAUAAACUAGGCUUUGAUGGAAACCCCGUUCAAUGGCGGCCUUACCUAUAAGGGUCCUAAGGUAGCGUAAUACCUUGGCCGUUAAAUGCGGUCUUGCAUGAAUGAUGUAACGAUACAACAGCUGUCUCUAUGAUUGGCUCGGUGAAAUUGGAAUAACUGUGCAGAUACAGUUUACCUCUAGUUGGACGAGAAGACCCUAUGCAGCUUUACUGUUGCUAGUUACCGAGUAUGAUAUAAUGAGUUGUAGCGUAUAAGGUAAUUAAUAUAAAAUUGAAACACCUUUACUUCAUUUAUCAUAUUAUAUAAACCUUACAAGCAAAUUGCCAGUAAAAUCAAUAAAUAUGAUUACUGGUUGUAAUAAAUGAUAGGAACAAUUGCUAGGUGGCAGUUUAUGCGGGGCACAGAUCCCAUAAAGAGUACCUGGGAGUAUCCAAAUUUACUUAUCAAGUUUAACGGCUUAAUCUUGCUUUACUGUUUGACUUACAUGUCUUUCAGUUGCGUAAGCGGGGCAUAUGAUCACAAGAUGCAGAAAGGAAAGGUCUUGGAUUAUUGAAAAAGUUACGCUAGGGAUAACAGGCUAAUCGCGCCAGAGAGUUCAAAUUGAGUGCGGGGUUUGGCACCUCGAUGUCGGCUUAGCUCAUCCACAUGAAUGUAGGAGUCAUGAAGGGUCCGACUGUUCGUCGAUUAAAGAGCUACACGAGCUGGGUUAAAUACGUUGUGAGACAGUAUGGUUUCUAUCCUCUAGAGGAAGUUGGAAUAAAUUAGGGAUAGCCCCUUGUACGAGAGGAGUUGGGUAUAUUAACCUAUGGUUUACCUGUUGUUUGUUUUGCCAUAUUAUUGUAACUUAUAGAGACAAUCUCUCCAUUUGUUAUAGCCUCUGAGUUUAUAACCAAGAACGCAAUAUUUUAGGUGUAAUAGCUUAUGCUGGCAAUUACUUUUCACUAAAGUAACAUUUACUUAGGCAGAAAUAAACUGAAAUAGAUGAUAUGUCUAGUAAAAAGGCACGGCAGGAAAGCUACGUUAGUUAAUGAUAAGUGCUGAAUGCAUAUAGGCACGAAACAUACCUUAGGAUAUUCUCAUAUAUACGUAGUUUAAUACUACAAUUU